UUCGUAGGCGGUGCGGUGUGUCGGGAGUGAAAUCUCUGGGCUUAACCCAGAGGCUGCUUCCGAAACUGCCGUGCUCGAGUGCGGGAGAGGCCAGUGGAAUUGCAGGUGUAGCGGUGAAAUGCGUAGAUAUCUGCAGGAACACCCGUGGCGAAGGCGGCUGGCUGGACCGCAACUGACGCUGAGGAACGAAAGCUGGGGGAGCAAACAGGAUUAGAUACCCUGGUAGUCCUAGCCCUAAACGAUCAGGACUUGGGGUGCAUCCCGUUGGGGGUGCGUCCCGUAGCUAACGCGUUAAGUCCUGCGCCUGGGGAGUACGGUCGCAAGGCUGAA
Molecule: ribosomal RNA, 330 nt
Filed under: uncultured bacterium
Lineage: Bacteria
Description: bacterial SSU rRNA
Rfam family: Bacterial small subunit ribosomal RNA
Source: RNAcentral